This 223-nucleotide unclassified non-coding RNA is filed under the name uncultured Actinomycetes bacterium. Its description in RNAcentral is "uncultured actinobacterium contains 16S-23S intergenic spacer region". It matches the Rfam family "Bacterial small subunit ribosomal RNA", at positions 978 to 1191 of the family's 1533-position model. Lineage: Bacteria; Bacillati; Actinomycetota; Actinomycetes. The record is from RNAcentral.
AAGGUUUGACAUGCAGGGAAAAACCGCAGAGAUGUGGUGUCCUUUUAGGGUCUUGCACAGGUGGUGCAUGGCUGUCGUCAGCUCGUGUCGUGAGAUGUUGGGUUAAGUCUCGCAACGAGCGCAACCCUCGUUCCAUGUUGCCAGCACAGCACUUCGGUGUGGUGGGGACUCAUGGGAGACUGCCGGGGUCAACUCGGAGGAAGGUGGGGAUGACGUACCAGUA